Molecule: ribosomal RNA, 94 nt
Filed under: Methylobacterium persicinum
Lineage: Bacteria; Pseudomonadati; Pseudomonadota; Alphaproteobacteria; Hyphomicrobiales; Methylobacteriaceae
Source: RNAcentral
CCAGAACCCGAUCCCAUCUCGAACUCGGCCGUUAAACACGCCAGCGCCCAUGGUACUGUGCCUCAAGGCACGGGAGAGUCGGUCGCCGCCAGAC